RNAcentral lists this ribosomal RNA (443 nucleotides) under uncultured bacterium. RNAcentral describes it as "partial 16S ribosomal RNA". It matches the Rfam family "Bacterial small subunit ribosomal RNA", at positions 338 to 795 of the family's 1533-position model. The record is from RNAcentral.
CCUACUGGAGGCAGCAGUGGGGAAUAUUGGGCAAUGGGCGCAACCCUGACCCAGCAACGCCGCGUGAAGGAAGAAGGCUUUCGGGUUGUAAACUUCUUUUCUCAGGGACGAAGAUAGUGACGGUACCGGAGGAAUAAGCCACGGCUAACUACGCGCCAGCAGCCGCGGUAAUACGUAGGGGGCAAGCGUUAUCCGGAUUGACUGGGUGUAAAGGGCGUGUAGGCGGGACUGCAAGUCAGAUGUGAAAACCACGGGCUCAACCUGUGGCCUGCAGUGGAAACGGUAGUGCUUGAGUACAGGAGAGGCAAGCGGAAUUCCUAGUGUAGCGGUGAAAUGCGUAGAUAUUAGGAGGAACACCAGUGGCGAAGGCGGUCUGCUGGACAGCAACUGACGCUGAGGCGCGAAAGCGUGGGGAGCAAACAGGAUUAGAUACCCCAGUAGUC